UACGUAGGGGGCAAGCGUUAUCCGGAUUUACUGGGUGUAAAGGGGGCGCAGACGGCGAUGCAAGCCAGGAGUGAAAGCCCGGGGCCCAACCCCGGGACUGCUCUUGGACUGCGUGGCUGGAGUGCAGGAGGGGCAGGCGGAAUUCCUGGUGUAGCGGUGAAAUGCGUAGAUAUCAGGAGGAACACCGGUGGCGAAGGCGGCCUGCUGGACUGCAACUGACGUUGAGGCCCGAAAGCGUGGGGAGCAAACAGG
Molecule: ribosomal RNA, 252 nt
Filed under: uncultured bacterium
Lineage: Bacteria
Description: partial 16S ribosomal RNA
Rfam family: Bacterial small subunit ribosomal RNA
Source: RNAcentral